Molecule: ribosomal RNA, 403 nt
Filed under: Verrucomicrobiota bacterium
Lineage: Bacteria; Pseudomonadati; Verrucomicrobiota
Description: Verrucomicrobia bacterium partial 16S ribosomal RNA
Rfam family: Bacterial small subunit ribosomal RNA
Source: RNAcentral
UGGGGAUUAUUGCACAAUGGAGGGAACUCUGAUGCAGCGACGCCGCGUGAACGAAGAAGGCUUUCGAGUCGUAAAGUUCUUUUAUAUGGGAAGAUAAUGACGGUACCAUAAGAAAAAGCCCCGGCUAACUACGUGCCAGCAGCCGCGGUAAUACGUAGGGGGCUAGCGUUGUCCGGAAUCACUGGGCGUAAAGGGUUCGCAGGCGGAAAUGCAAGUCAGGUGUAAAAGGCAGUAGCUUAACUACUGUAAGCAUUUGAAACUGCAUAUCUUGAGAGGAGUAGAGGUAAGUGGAAUUUUUAGUGAAGCGGUGAAAUGCGUAGAUAUUAAAAAGAAUACCGGAGGCGAAGGCGACUUACUGGGCUCAUUCUGACGCUGAGGAACGAAAGCGUGGGUAGCAAACAAG